GAUGAACGCUAGCGGCAGGCCUAAUACAUGCAAGUCGAACGGUAAGUAUUUUAGCAAUAGAAUACGAGAGUGACGUACGGGUGCGUAACACGUAUGCAACCUACCCUUUACGGGAGGAUAGCUCGGGGAAACUCGAAUUAACCCUCCAUGAGAUCACAGUGUGGCAUCACACAGUGAUUAAAACUCCGGUGGUAAAGGAUGGGCAUGCGUCUGAUUAGUUAGUUGGCGGGGUAACGGCCCACCAAGACGAUGAUCAGUAGGGGAACUGAGAGGUUGAUCCCCCACACUGGCACUGAGAUACGGGCCAGACUCCUACGGGAGGCAGCAGUAGGGAAUAUUGGUCAAUGGAUGGAAGUCUGAACCAGCCAUGCCGCGUGCAGGAAGAAGGCCUUCUGGGUUGUAAACUGCUUUUGCCAGGGGAUAAAAAGACCAUGCGUGGUUAAUUGAAGGUACCUGGUGAAUAAGCCACGGCUAACUACGUGCCAGCAGCCGCGGUAAUACGGU
This 504-nucleotide ribosomal RNA is filed under the name uncultured bacterium. RNAcentral's name for it is "bacterial SSU rRNA". It matches the Rfam family "Bacterial small subunit ribosomal RNA", at positions 28 to 529 of the family's 1533-position model. The record is from RNAcentral.